GGGUCUAAUCGGGCUAGUCCCUCUCAAACCAAACUAAAUGGGUGCUAAAUGGGCGGUCUAUAUUCACCCGUUUGCCCACCCAUACUCCCAAAACCAAAACCCGGCUCCAUCAAACCCUUCGCCUUCACUCUUCACCCUUCAGAAACGACUCGAUCUCAAAAAUCACGAUUUUCUCUCUUCAUCUCUAGCUCGACCUCGACCUCGACCUCUAGCUUCCGACCUCCUCCUCUCCCCUAGAGCUCGACCUCGACCUCCGGCCUCUAAUCUCCUCUCUCUCUCGAGCUCUACCUUUGAUCACCUCUCGCCUCUGAUCUUCUCUCCUUCUCGACCUAGAUCUCUUCUCCUGCCCUUCGAUCUCCUCUUAUCUUUGAUCCCCAAUCCUCAGAUCAAGAGAAGCUCCCAUGUGCGCUCAGCUGUCGUUGCAACCAUCCAUCUAAACCAUAUCAGUUUGCAUUAGGAUUAACUGAUGACAGUGUUCACAUGCUCGAGCCUUUAGAGUCAGAAGGCAAACGGAUGACUGAAUCUUCACUAGUAAAUCCUGCUUAUGAUCAUUCUUCAAAGCGAUGAUACUGAACACUAACUCUGCCAAGUGACACAGGAUGAAGGAAACGAGAUCUAUCCGAGUUUAACACCACAGAAAGAAUAGCUGACUUGCAAAAGGUACAGUGCUCCUAAACUCUAGGCACGGUUGUAGGGAAGAACGCUAAUUUGUUUCAGAUCAAGCAUAGCUCUCUGUAAAAUCAUGGAAGGGAGGAGAUCAGUCACUUUUUAAUGAUAGACGAUCUUUCCUUCUCCCACUUUUUUUUAAAAAAAACUUAUAUUCUACAGGAGGCACAGUUUUUACAUUGUAUACGCUUUGAGGCCUUAGAGAAAACUUUUUUUUAAAAUGCGUUUUUGUUGACAGGCAAGUACAGUUUCUUUGAAAAGAGAAUCAUGUUAUUGAUCUUAUACAGAUCCUUACGUA
Molecule: long non-coding RNA, 964 nt
Organism: Asparagus officinalis (garden asparagus)
Lineage: Eukaryota; Viridiplantae; Streptophyta; Magnoliopsida; Asparagales; Asparagaceae
Exons: 2
Source: RefSeq, a predicted model, not a curated record